CUCCUACGGGACGCAGCAGUGGGGAAUAUUGGACAAUGGGGGAAACCCUGAUCCAGCGACGCCGCGUGAGUGAAGAAGUAUUUCGGUACGUAAAGCUCUAUCAGCAGGAAAGAAAAUGACGGUACCUGACUAAGAAGCCCCGGCUAACUACGUGCCAGCAGCCGCGGUAAUACGUAGGAUGCGAGCGUUAUCCGGAUUUAUUGGGUGUAAAGGGAGCGUAGACGGCAUUGCAAGUCUGAUGUGAAAGAUUGGGGCUCAACCCCAGUCCUGCAUUGGAAACUGUAAAGCUGGAGUACAGGAGAGGG
This 305-nucleotide ribosomal RNA is filed under the name uncultured bacterium. RNAcentral describes it as "bacterial SSU rRNA". It matches the Rfam family "Bacterial small subunit ribosomal RNA", at positions 336 to 658 of the family's 1533-position model. The record is from RNAcentral.